UACGAAGGGGGCUAGCGUUGCUCGGAAUCACUGGGCGUAAAGCGCACGUAGGCGGGUCGUUAAGUCGGGGGUGAAAUCCUGGAGCUCAACUCCAGAACUGCCUUCGAUACUGGCGACCUUGAGUCCGGGAGAGGUGAGUGGAACUCCGAGUGUAGAGGUGAAAUUCGUAGAUAUUCGGAAGAACACCAGUGGCGAAGGCGGCUCACUGGUCCGGUACUGACGCUGAGGUGCGAAAGCGUGGGGAGCAAACAGG
Molecule: ribosomal RNA, 253 nt
Filed under: uncultured bacterium
Lineage: Bacteria
Description: partial 16S ribosomal RNA
Rfam family: Bacterial small subunit ribosomal RNA
Source: RNAcentral